GGCAGUUCUCGGGUGAUGCAUCCCAGAAUCGGGUUCCCUCCUCUCUGGUUCCAGGUGUGUCGCCUGAGAACCGCA
Molecule: non-coding RNA, 75 nt
Organism: Myotis davidii
Lineage: Eukaryota; Metazoa; Chordata; Mammalia; Chiroptera; Vespertilionidae
Source: Rfam